RNAcentral lists this long non-coding RNA (1167 nucleotides) under Anas zonorhyncha (Eastern spot-billed duck). Its description in RNAcentral is "lncRNA (ENSAZOG00000007823.1)". The record is from RNAcentral. Lineage: Eukaryota; Metazoa; Chordata; Aves; Anseriformes; Anatidae.
CCUCCCCAACUCAACCUCAUCUUCCUCGCCCAACCUAACAUCAUCAUCUCCCAACUCAACGCUCUUCCUCCCCCAACUCAACCUCAUCUUCCUCGCCCAACUCAACACAAUCAUCUCCCAACUCAACCUCAUCUUCCUCCCCAACAUCAUCUUCCUCCCCAACUCAACAUCAUCUUCCUCUUCCAAUUCAUCACGCUCUUCCUCCUCCAACUCAACCUCAUCUUCCUCCCCAACUCAUCAUCAUCUUCCUCUUCCAACCCAACACAAUCAUCUCCCAACUCAACUCUUCCUCCCCAAAAUCAUCUUCCUCCCCCAACCCAACCUCAUCUUCCUCCCCCACUCAAUGUCAUCUUCAUCCCCAACCCAACCUCAUCUUCCUCUUCCAACUCAUCAUCAUCAUCUCCCAACUCAACGCCCUCUUCCUCCCCAACAUCAUCUUCCUCCCCAUCAACCUCAUCUUCCUCCCCAACCUCAUCUUCCUCACCCAACUCAACCUCAUCUUCCUCUUCCAACUCAACAUCAUCUUCAUCCCCAACUCAUCAUCAUCUUCCUCCCCCAACUCAACCUCAUCUUCCUCACCCAACUCAAUGUCAUCAUCUCCCAACUCAACGCCCUCUUCCUCCCCAAUGUCAUCUUCCUCACCCACUCAUCAUCAUCUUCCUCACCCAACUCAACCUCAUCUUCAUCCCCAACUCAACGCUCUUCCUCCCCAACCUCAUCUUCCUCCCCAACUCAACAUCAUCUUCCUCCCCAACCCAACCUCAUCUUCCUCCCCCAACUCAACCUCAUCUUCAUCCCCAACUCAUCAUCUUCCUCCCCAACCUCAUCUUCCUCCCCAAAAACAUCUUCCUCCCCCAGCUCAACGUCAUCUUCAUCCCCGACUCAUCAUCAUCUUCAUCCCUGACUCAUCAUCAUCUUCCUCCCUCAACUCAGCCUCAUCUUCCUCACCCAACUCAUCAUCAUCAUCUCCCAACUCAUCAUCUUCCUCCCCAACCUCAUCUUCCUCCCCAAGAACAUCAUCUUCAUCCCCAACCCAACCUCAUCUUCCUCGCCCAACCUAACAUCAUCAUCUCCCAACUCAACGCUCUUCCUCCCCCAACCCAACCUCAUCUUCCUCCUCCAACUCAUCAUCAUCAUCUCCCAACUCAACGCGCUCUUCCUCCCCAA